Long non-coding RNA from Oreochromis niloticus (Nile tilapia), 374 nucleotides. RefSeq lists it as uncharacterized. The transcript is spliced from 2 exons. Lineage: Eukaryota; Metazoa; Chordata; Actinopteri; Cichliformes; Cichlidae. The record is from RefSeq and is a predicted model, not a curated record.
UCGGGUGGUCGUCUCCGUAGAGAUGAGCGGAACAACGGCACAUCCGGGGAUUCUGAGCAUACUCGGGCGGCGACUGAUGACGUUGACUGAUCGGGAUUGGGCUGUGGGUUUGUUACAGUUGUCGGCUUUUCUAACUUCGACGAAACACCAGCUGACGUGUGCUGGUGGUAAAUUGUUUUUGUUUAGGUGUUUUUUAUUGUUGUUGUUGUUUUUUGCUUAGGUUAUUUAAUCAGAAAAAGGUUAAUGUAACUUCGGAGGAAGAAGCGGCAGAGUUUGUUCAGGAAGUUUCGCAUUCAUUAAACUUCUCUUCAAACCAUGGCGUGCGCGGGGAACGGCAUGUCAGAUGAGAGAAUCGGGGAAGCCCUGAUCAAAGA